This 3946-nucleotide unclassified non-coding RNA is filed under the name Leishmania donovani. RNAcentral's name for it is "gene:unknown". Lineage: Eukaryota; Euglenozoa; Kinetoplastea; Trypanosomatida; Trypanosomatidae. The record is from RNAcentral.
CACACGGCUCUAUUAUGUGCUUUCCUUCUGAAAAUCUACACAUCAACACGGCUUCCGCCACUGUUCCUACAAAGUGCGUACACGAACUCGAGCACACACGCGCGUAAUCGUGCCUGCCCAUUCCUUCGAUGCGCUCCAAACCGGGUCCUCGGCGGCGUUUUGCUUCUCUUCCCUCCCCACCUUCACUCCCACUCUCCAACACGAAAGACUUGACCAAGGUGAGGCGAGCGAGGCGAUCUUACACGCGACCGCGCUUCUCUUUUUGCCUAUUUUUCUUGAUUCGCGUGUUGUCGGCUCCUCUUGCACGGCUUAUGGGAGGCGAGUGAGAGAUGACAUGAGGAGUAUACGCGACUACAGCAAGCAGCCCUCCCCCACUUUUAUCUGCACUCCUUUCGCCCCUGCUAUCACGGGUAGUCUUCACUCCCUUCACAGACACGCUUGGCCGAGAGCAGUCGCCCCCCCCUGCUUGCGCCUUCUCCGGUCGUAUCGCUGCGGUGCCUUCAUAGGGAGGCGUGCUCGCACAUGGCUGUGCGUGCUGCACGCAAGCAGCCAGUGAUAAGCACGAACUCUGUUUGCGUCCCCCAUACGGCAUGCCACAACUCUCGUUGUUAUCGACAACGUCGCAUAGGGAGGACACUCUUGAAGCGCCUUCUCUGCGUGCUCUGAUUCGCAGCGACGUGGCGAAUGGGUGCCUCCCUUCCCACUCCAACAAGCUCGCAGAGCGGCACGCGUCUCUUCUACCGACGUUUUUGCCUUCACCUGCAACACCCGUCCCUUCGCUGUCUCAGACGCACAGCGGUGUGGUCUCUUUACAACCGCUUCUCUAGGCUCGCGUCGCUCGAUCUGUGCUGCACACGCGACUUCGUGGCUGCGUCUUGGGGCGCCGCAGCCUUAAUGCGGGCCGCCGAGUACUUCAAAGACGCCUUGGAGGAGUACUGCGGGCCGCGCGCUGGUUGACUGAAGGGGGCAGUGAAGGGCCUUCAGCACUGCGCCUGGCCCCGAAAGACCGUGCACAGCUGACGGCCUUGCUGUGGGCCGCUUGAUCGCCCGAAGAGACCAAGGGCACAAGGGCUCCAAGCAUCAACGCCGCUGCCGCCAUGGGACCCGAUCAAUCUAGCUCACGUCGCUGGGGAAGAGGUGGCGAGGAAGAUGAAGCUCACGGCUUGGCCGACGUCGUUGUUGCCCUCCCCCCCUCAGCUGCUCUGUUGGUAGCGGCGCUUCUCCUCGCUACAGGCACAAAGAGCUCGGCUCUCUCGAAACGUCUCUGACGCCUGUCGGAGCCCACUUCGUGUGCUGUCCUGCAGCUCGCUCUCUUUAUCCUACUAACGCUGUGCCGGCGCGCUUGGCUCCUCCGGUGAAGUGCGACGCGCCUUGAACGACGUUGUCGCCUACGCCGCCUGCCGAGUGGAUGAUGGAGGCUCGGCACGUUGUGAGCGCGACCCCCGCGCUGCAGCAGGUGCUGCAGUGCUGCGGGACGCCCAUCCUGGACAUGCUGGGUCGGGCGGAGGCGGCUGAUCCGACGGUGGCGUGUUCAUCUCUUAGGCGUGAGCGGCGGACGGCGAUCCGCUCCUUCGAUGCCCUUUUUUUUCAUCUCUGCGGGGCCAAGGGCGUGUUGGAGCGCGAGAGCUACGUUGAGCAGCUGGCGUAUGAUCGUAUUGAAUAUGGUUUGGCAGAGGAUGGACCGCGUGCCUUCCGUCAGCUGUUGGUGGACGCGGGUGGUUACUUUGUGAACCGCAGUUUGUGCCCUGAUGUGUGGACGCUGCACGCGUGCCAGCUCAUGAGACUCUACCUGGGAGCUUCUCUCCACGUACUGGAUCAAAUGCAUUGGCACGCCAUGACAGGCGCUCAUGAGCGCGAACAUCUGCGUAGUGGAGACGAAAGUGUUUUAUCCUGGAUGUGCCACGAAUCUGCCGCGAGCCCACGAAUGGCUCUGCAGGGAGGCGUGCUCCCCGGCAUGAGCGGCUGCAUUUACUGGAACGGACAGCCUUCAUUUUUUCCUUUUUUUUUCGCUGCUGGUAGGGGCUACGCUGGAGCGCUUAUCUCUCGGCACUGGACGUCGGCGAGUCUCCGUUUUCGUUUUUUCUUCGUUUUCGAAUUUCUUUUCCCUUUUCCUAGGUAGUGCUUGUAAGCUCACAUUGCGGGCUUCUGGAGCUCUGACAUUGGUGAGGAUACUGCUUGGUGCUCCCUCGAGCCAGCGCUGAUGAUAGUGUGCCAACAGGGAAGCAAGCAAGGUUGAUGCGCUCUGCCGCCGGAGAUGAGCGUGUUGGUGCGAUGCAGUAUCCUUUCAUAUUAUUUUCCCUUUUCGCUGUUUAUCAUCUUGUUUGUUGCGGAGGCGACUGCACGCCUGCUUGUGUGUCCGUGUGUUCCUCCAUCUGCGUCUCCACACUUCUGUUGAUGUACUCGCACUCAUGCUGCUUGAGUUGAAUAUGCGAGGCACAUGGCUCAUGCCGCUUUUUUUGUACAUACUCGGUGGUCCCAUCACACAACCGCGUGCACGCCCUCACGGUCGCCUACUUCUCGGUUUUCGUUGAUUUCCAGGGGCGCCCUGCACUGACCGUACUCCACGGCCUACAAUAGAAGGCCUCGUGCGUGGGGGCUUCUCAUUUUUUUCUUCUGAACACUCUCUUGCUCUGCAUAUCAUCUCGCAUGCCACACGAGCAGAGAAGAGUAGGAAGGGGGAGCUAUGGCCGGCGAAGGAACACGUGCAAGCGCAUACACCCAAUACCUCAGCCGAAGCUGUUGGAAGAGGCUGCUUCGCAGCUUGGGUUGCUCAUGAUGAUGUGUUCUCUUUUAGCUUUUUUUUUCCGCUCCCAUGUUACGUUGUUCAUACCGCCUUUUCAAUCCCUCUUUGUCUAUCCGCUUUUCUCUGUGUGACCUCCACAUCUUCUUCCUUAGUUUCGUACUCUUGCGCCUCUGAUGUGCGUUCUGUAGUCAAGGCGACCCAUAGCCGCUGCUCUCUCUCCUUCUUCCGCUCCCCUCCCUCUUCUCCUCUUUUCUUUGUGUCCUCUCUGAAUCUGACUCAUUCUCUCUCUUUAACGCUGCCAGAUUUUCCGUUGGGUCUCUCUGGCUCGGCAUGAAACGCUUCCUCGUCACAGGGCUUCUGCUUGCUCACCGGACGACGCCACGGCUGGUGCUGUUUGCAUGCGCGCCAAAAAAGCCGCACGCGAUGCCAGCUUUUAUUCUCUGUAACACAGACACCCAACAACACACCGCAUUGUGCGAGGCACAUUUCCUUUUUCGACGCCUCUGUGAUGCGCCUCUGUCUUUUCCACUACCGCUGCGCACGGGCGCCUCGUUCUUUGCAUAUGUUCCGCGACUCUGUGCGUGUCUGCGGAACGAAAAAUGAGUCGUCUUUAUGUGUGCUCCUCUUAGUGUUCGUGUGCGAGUGUGUGGCGACGCUCUCGUCUAUCUUGCUUCUCCGUGCCUUUGCCGCUCACCUUUCCACCUCGGGGUCGACCCUCGCUUUUCCCGGUGUUGUUGCUUCGGCGCCGUCCUCCGUCAUUCAUUGCACGCCUUCCUUCACCACACGCUCUCUCGCCUCUCUCUUCGCUUCGCUUCGGCGUUUUCGUCAGCAGCGAGUGCCCGAGUGAGCGGAGAUGAGCGCGGCCCAUCAACGAAGGCGGGCGAAAAGAAAUUCAAAGAAGAACAGCAGCGCUAUUUGCGCUGCGUGACGCACCACCUCUCCUCCCCUCUGGAACGGAGUUGAGGGAGCGGGAAGGGAUGUCAUCCUCUUCUCUUCCAUCGCCGUGCUACUUGCCACUUCUCAGACGUAUUAGAGGAGAAGAGCGAUAGGAACGGGGUGCAGCGGUGAGGCAGCUCGCCUGCAUCGGCCUGCUUCACCGCUGGCUGGACGCUGCUGUUUUGGAUGUCCUUUUGUUUCUCGUUUUGUUUGGCGCGCAGCGAUACCCCCCUCCCUGGCGCCGAUGUCAGUCCUUGCCGAAGGUGA